This 553-nucleotide long non-coding RNA is filed under the name Hordeum vulgare. RNAcentral describes it as "long non-coding RNA (HVUL_LNC004540)". Lineage: Eukaryota; Viridiplantae; Streptophyta; Magnoliopsida; Poales; Poaceae. The record is from RNAcentral.
UAAACAUAAGAGAAAUGUUUUUCCAUGUUUAGUUAUAUCAGUUGAAUAUCCAAAGCGCGUGCACAUUUACUUGUAGGACAACAGUAUGGUUUUAGUCAUAAAUUUCUUUGUGCACUGUAGCAACUUCUUACGCCUUAUAUUGUGUAGAACCACUGGAAGCGGAACCUUUUCCUUUUCCUUUUCGGACAUAUCCACUUGAAGUUUUAUUUUUGUCACUCUAUUCUUGCAGGACAGGCAUAUCAUGUCACGGCGGCACGGUUGAUGUUGUAGAUAUUUGUUUUUGUUUGUAGUCCCUCAAUUUGUUGUAUCUUAAGGUUUGUUUGUUCUUUUAAAUUAUUAUAUGGGUUGUUAAUGAUGCAAAUGUACAUAGAGGUUUAUUCAGUGCUUGUAAUCAUAUGUUUGUCUUAAACGGGGGGGGGGGGGGGGGGUGUGCAGAUUAAUUUCUUAUCUGGUUCAAUCAGCAUUAAAAGUAAUAUGCCAAGUAUGUUCUGCAGAUUAAUUCUUAUAUGCAGUUUUAUUUUGCGGGAAUUUCUUAUCUGUAGUCCUGUCAGCA